Molecule: ribosomal RNA, 1324 nt
Filed under: metagenome
Description: bacterial SSU rRNA
Rfam family: Eukaryotic small subunit ribosomal RNA
Source: RNAcentral
AUUGCGGAACAGACCCACUGCGUUCGACCUUCACUCUUCACACGCGGAACCAUUGGGGCUGUGGAAACCUCCUUGAUUGGUGGUAGAAGCGCUUCCGCAUUCAACACAUGCAUAUGCCCCUGUCCGUGGAGGUUACUGUGAACAAAACAGCGUGUCCAAAGCAACCACAUGUCUGGCUGAAUGAUCUAGCAUGGAAUAACAAGGCAUCGACCACUGGAGUCAGCCUUUUUGUUGGUUUUACAUGACCCAGUUGGGCAAUGCAGGGCUUGUGCUUCAUUGAGGUUCUUAGUCAGCUCUACCGAACUGUCUUCCCUCAGUUGGACCUUGUUCCCUAUCGGGAUCAAUGGAAGCCAUCGGGGUGGUAUGUAUUCCGACGUGAGCGGUGAAAUGCUUAGACCGUUGGAAGACAAACGACAGCGAAGGCAUUCCGCCAGAAUGUUUUCAUUAAUCAAGAACGAGAGUGUGGGGAUCGAAGAUGAUCAGAUACCAUCGUAGUCCAUUACCGUAAACUAUGCCAACUCGGCAUUGGGAGUCUGUUCACUUUGAAGACUCUCCCAGCAUCAUCCCCCAAUAACGAGAAAUCCAAGUCUAUGGGUUCAGGGGGGAGUACAGUCGCAAGGCUGAAACUUAAAGGAAUUGACGGAAUGACACCACAAGGCGUGGAGUAUGCGGCUUAAUUUGACUCAACACGGGGAAGCUUACCAGGUCAGACACAGUAAGGAUUGACAGAUUGAGAGCUCUUUCUUGAUCCUAUGGAUGGUGGUGCAUGGCCGUUUCUGGUUCGUGGAGUGAUCUGUCUGCUUAAUUGCGAUAACGAACGAGAUCUCUACCUCUAAAUAGGCGCCGGUCUCGCAUGUAAGUAGGGAUGUGUUGGGGGCCUUCGUGUCCCCUCAUGUCCUGAGAGUGCCGGGAUCGCUUCUUAGACGGACUGUGCAUGUCUUUAAUGCACGGAAGAGGGAGUCAAUAGCAGGUCUGUGAUGCUCCUAGAUGUUCUGGGCUGCACGCGCACUACACUGGCACAGUAAACGAGUUGCACCUGCUUCGGCAGUCCUGCUUAGAAGUGAGCGUGGGAAAUCUUAGAAAACUGUGCCGUGCUGGGGAUAGAUGAUUGCGAUUAUUUGUCUUGAACGAGGAAUGCCUAGUAGAGGUACUUCAUCAGAGUACCUUGAUUGUGUCCCUGCCAUUUGUACACACCGCCCGUCGUUGCUACCGAUUGGCUGUAAAAUAGAGGCCUUAAGAGUCGCUUCCGCAAAGCUUUGCUUUUGAGGUUGUGACAAAUCUGGCCAAUAUCUCAUUGCUAGAGGAAGCAAAAGUCGUAACAAGG